RNAcentral lists this ribosomal RNA (402 nucleotides) under bacterium. Its description in RNAcentral is "partial 16S ribosomal RNA". It matches the Rfam family "Bacterial small subunit ribosomal RNA", at positions 355 to 776 of the family's 1533-position model. The record is from RNAcentral.
UGGGGAAUUUUGCACAAUGGGGGAAACCCUGAUGCAGCGACGCCGCGUGAUUUAGAAGGCCUUCGGGUUGUAAAAAUCUUUUCUAUGGGAAGAAAAUGACAGUACCAUAGGAAUAAGGACCGGCUAAUUACGUGCCAGCAGCCGCGGUAAUACGUAAGGUCCGAGCGUUGUCCGGAAUCAUUGGGCGUAAAGGGUACGUAGGCGGGUAAGCAAGUUAGAAGUGAAAUCCUAUAGCUCAACUAUAGUAAGCUUUUAAAACUGCUCAUCUUGAGGUAUGGAAGGGAAAGAGGAAUUCCUAGUGUAGCGGUGAAAUGCGCAGAUAUUAGGAGGAAUACCGGUGGCGAAGGCGACUUUCUGGCCAUAACCUGACGCUGAGGUACGAAAGCGUGGGUAGCAAACAGG